CUGUAAUCCCAGCACUUUGGGAGGCCGAGGCGGGCAGAUCACGAGGUCAUGAGAUCGAGACCAUCCUGGCUAAAACGGUGAAACCCCGUCUCUACUAAAAAUACAAAAAAAAUUAGCUGGGCGUAGUGGCGGGCGCCUGUAGUCCCAGCUACUCGGGAGGCUGAGGCAGGAGAACGGUGUGACCCCGGGAGGCGGAGCUUGCAGUGAGCCGAGAUAGCGCCACUGCACUCCAGCCUGGGCGACAGAGCAAGACUGUCUCAAAAAAAAAAGAACAAAAAAAAAAAUCAUAGCUGCAUGGAAUGUUAGCUGUCCAUUUUCUUUGCUGUGAACUUGGGAGCCAUGGUAAAGAGACAGCUUUGGCUUUGCAGUGGUGAGAGCUCGGUUCAAGUCUCCAGUCUGCCCCUUCAAAAGCUGUGUGACCUUGGAGAAGACAGUUUAGCUCUCUGAGCCAAGAUUCCUUACCUUAUGAGAAGGUUCCUUGGAGGGGCAAAUAUAACAAUAGAUGAA
This 507-nucleotide long non-coding RNA is filed under the name Homo sapiens (human). RNAcentral's name for it is "HSALNT0331120". The record is from RNAcentral. Lineage: Eukaryota; Metazoa; Chordata; Mammalia; Primates; Hominidae.